GUAGAAGCUCUGAGCUGUCCGAUCUGGUCCAUUGUUUACUGAGGUGGCCCAAGGAGAACUCCUGAUUGACAUGUAUACUAUGGUGCAUUGAGUUGGUUGCAACCUCACCAGUGCGCUGACAAUAAACAAUGAUUGAUUUAAGAUUGACUUCGAGUGUCCCUGUUUAAGAAUUUCCACAACAUAAGUAUACCGGAAGUUCUAUUAGCAUACUUGGGAGGUCUGGAAAACGAAGCACACAUGGGAGCAUACUUUUUAGUUCCCUUCGCCAGGGAAGCUAUCCCAUAACACUUUGCAACACAGCAACAAAAAAAAUGUAAGGAAUAAAUAACUUUGUUAAAUGGACAGAUGGCAACUGAUGCGUUCCUUUCAUUCCAUGGCAGGACAAAAUAUUUGUGCCCAACUGGUUUGGAGGCAAGACAUUUUAACAACAUUUGAUUAAAAACAUAGGAAAUGCAGCUAGCUGUGUUCUGUUCAAUCUAGGCUUGCUAGCCAGCCAAGUUAUUUGUGCAUUCAUACAUGAUCAGUCAAUACAUGCAUGCAGUAUGUUCACCUGAUGUUCGCUAACUUUCUUGUUACUUUCCCCUCCCCUCGUAUUUCACCAUUGCAUAUAAAGAAAAUGUUUUAAAUGAUAAAGUAAAAGUAAAUUAGUGACAACUUGAUCAAGCCUAUGAAUAUGUAAAACUGUUUACAAAAUCAUUGCACAUUGACAAGUUAGUUUUGGUUCUCAGCAACUGGAACCCGCACUGAACUUUGAGCAGCAAGGUUAAUUUCUUCUCCUUUGGCAUUAUAUUCCUGCUCUGUUCUCCUCAGGUUUAAGCACAUCCCACCCCAUCAGCCAGACAGAUGUAAAGAACUUGCAAACCUCUUUCCCGAACUUGAAACGUCACUAUGUUAAAAGUAGAUCCAUACGUUGUUCUCUAUCAUGCAGAAUUGUCAGCUUAUUGUAACAUGAAGCUCAUUCUAAAAUACAGACGAGUGAUUUCUGCCCCAGGGUACUGCACCGUGUGCAUUUUUAUUCCUGCCCAGCAAUCAUGUUAAAUUAUUUAUUGUCUACAAUUUAGACCACAGUAAGUUGAAUGGGGUGUUUGUGAAAGGCUGGAGCAAAAACCUGUAAACUCCUGUCCUCUGUAUAAAAAACCUGUGGCUUUUAUGACAAAAUGUGCCCUCGUGUACUGAACAAGCUUUUGAAUGUUAAUCUCCUUGAUGUGCCUCACUUGGGGAUGAUAAAAGGUUUAUUCUAUUCUACUGAGCCAUUUACUUUAUGUUCGUAUUAUCUUUUAUUAUUUAUUGUUGUUUUAUAGUUGAAGGAACCUGCAAGUAAGCAUUUCAUUGGACCAUGUGUAUCCUGUACAUAGGACUAAUAAAACUUGAAAUUUGACUUCUUUUGUACACUGGACUGUGUUGUAAGAAUUCAUACACAGAUACAGGAAAACCAAUUAAAGGGUCCAUAUUGAUUUUAAAUGACAAGUGUUGUCUCCCCACGGUUUUGAGGCUUACGCAUCUGGGGACUGCAUUUCAUUUGUCUAAUCACCUGC
Long non-coding RNA from Oncorhynchus tshawytscha (Chinook salmon), 1535 nucleotides. Lineage: Eukaryota; Metazoa; Chordata; Actinopteri; Salmoniformes; Salmonidae. The record is from Ensembl.